RNAcentral lists this ribosomal RNA (350 nucleotides) under uncultured bacterium. Its description in RNAcentral is "partial 16S ribosomal RNA". It matches the Rfam family "Bacterial small subunit ribosomal RNA", at positions 338 to 685 of the family's 1533-position model. The record is from RNAcentral.
CCUACGGGUGGCAGCAGUGAGGAAUAUUGGUCAAUGGGCGCGAGCCUGAACCAGCCAAGUAGCGUGAAGGAUGACUGCCCUAUGGGUUGUAAACUUCUUUUAUAUGGGAAUAAAGUGCAGGAUGUAUACCGCUUUGCAUGUACCUUAUGAAUAAGGAUCGGCAAACUCCGUGCCAGCAGCCGCGGUAAUACGGAGGAUCCGAGCGUUAUCCGGAUUUAUUGGGGUUAAAGGGAUCGUAGGCGGGUUGUUAAGUCAGUUGUAAAAGUUUGCGGCUCAACCGUAAAAGUGCAUUUGAUACGGGCAUCCUUAGGUACGGUGGAGGAAGUCGAAGUUCGUGGUGUGGCGGUAAA